Molecule: unclassified non-coding RNA, 253 nt
Filed under: uncultured Anaerolineae bacterium
Lineage: Bacteria; Bacillati; Chloroflexota; Anaerolineae
Description: contains 16S-23S intergenic spacer region
Rfam family: Bacterial small subunit ribosomal RNA
Source: RNAcentral
UACGUAGGUGGCGAACGUUAUCCGGAGUUACUGGGCGUAAAGGGUCCGCAGGCGGAUGGGCAAGUCUGACGUGAAAUCUUCCGGCUCAACUGGAAGGGGUCGUUGGAAACUGCUCAUCUAGCAUCCCGCAGAGGUCGGUGGAAUUCCCGGUGUAGUGGUGGAAUGCGUAGAGAUCGGGAGGAACCUCGAAAGCGAAGGCAGCCGGCUAGGCGCGGAUGGACGCUGAGGGACGAAAGCGUGGGGAGCGAACAGG